AUGUUGAUUUUGAUGAUACUGUUUGUGUAUCAGAAUGAGAACAUGGUUGGGUUCUAUGUGUGCCUUAGUUUGAUGAAUUCUUGGCUUAAAUAUUGAAUUUAAUAAUAAAACUUGUUUAUAAAUAAUGAAUGUCAAUCUUCCAUUAGUUGCAUUGAGAAAGAUUUGAAAUUUUGAGUUUGGUGCAGAAUGCUUGCUCGACUUUUAUGGUUUUAUCUAUACGAUUGAUAAAGUAUAAUGGGUAAUUGGCUAAUUGCUGGCUAUAUAUGUUAUAUGUUUCCAGUAGUGUGUAUAAUAAUUGAAUCAAAUCUUGAAAUAACUUGCUCGAGUAUCAUCUCUUGAUUCUUGCUUAAUUGUUUCGUUCUUUGAUGUUUUAUUGUUAUUUGGAUAACUUUUUUUAUGUAUCAAGUAUAAUCUAUUGUUGAUUCUGAUUUUACUGAACACUAUUCUUAACACGCAGCCUAUUCCUACCUGCUCGAGGCAUACCAUUUGAGAACCCAUUCAACAGCUGAAUUACAGCAUAUUGAGCUUUCUAGGCUUUUCUCCAACGUCUCGCUGACUGAUGAAGGGGAUAAAUAGAGCUGGUCUUUGGACUCAAAUGGGUUAUUUUCGGUCAGUGGGUUGAGGAGGUGCUUGGUGCAAAACAACCAAACGGAUGCAGCUACUGUCUACUCGUGGAAUCGAUGGAUUCCGCUCAAGGUUAACUUUCUAGUGUGGAGGUUAAACUUGAAUAGACUAUCAACGCGGGUGUCUUUGUUAAGGAGAGGCGUACAAGUGCCAUCCGCUUUGUGUGAGUUGUGUCGAGAUGAAGAGGAGUCUACUGAAGACGUUUUCUGCACGUGCCCGUUCACGCAAAAGGUUUGGGAUGGAAUUGCGAGGUGGUGCAGAUUCCAGCCAUUUAUUAUUUUUUUUUUUGGCUUGGGUGAUCCGGUAAAUUAUCAUGUACAUGUGAUGGGCUCAAAAGUCUGGAAACAAUUGAUAUACUCAGGUCUUUCAAACGACGAUUUGGUGUAUUUGGUCGAGCAGAAAUAACUUGGUGUUUGAGCGGGGGAAGUGCUCGCCUAAAAGGGUGCUGGAAGAAACAAAGACAUGGGGUUUUUGUGGAUAAAACAUCGAGCCAAAGCGACGACAUUGACAUGGGAAAAGUGGAGUGAUUUUGAUGUUUCUUGCUUUGGUGGGUACUGUGUAAUGUUGUACUUGUACUGGUGUAUGGUACUUAACGUGGUUAACACAAUUUUGUUGACCCGUUUUAUAAUAAAAAUUAGUUGGCCG
RNAcentral lists this long non-coding RNA (1269 nucleotides) under Helianthus annuus (common sunflower). Lineage: Eukaryota; Viridiplantae; Streptophyta; Magnoliopsida; Asterales; Asteraceae. The record is from RNAcentral.